Molecule: long non-coding RNA, 4578 nt
Filed under: Sus scrofa (pig)
Lineage: Eukaryota; Metazoa; Chordata; Mammalia; Artiodactyla; Suidae
Description: lncRNA (ENSSSCG00035065329.1, ENSSSCG00055023544.1)
Source: RNAcentral
UCGGGUUGGGAGAUCCCGAGCCUGAGGCGAGCGUGGGCGGCACACACCUUCCCUUCCACUUUCAUCACCCCAGGGGUCAGGGAUCCGUCAAGGGCCAACGGAUGUUUCCUCCUUCCUCUGUAGCAGUCCCAGAGUCCUGACAUUGCCUAGCCAGAGUUUCUCGCGUCUGCCAGAGCAGCCGCUCCUCUAUCCAGGGCACUCAGAUUCCCAAGGAAACCCCCCUGAGGAGUUAGCAACCACCUACUAGUAGGUUUCGGUCCCAGGAUACUAAAGGUCAGGUAAAAAUGGGGAAAUGGGGGGAGGGUGUCUCUGAAAAGUACGUUGAUAAAACACCUAUUGUUGACUGAGUGUAUAUUACAUUGGAUUAAUGGAAUACGGCCUACUUAAACCUGGCUAUGGUUCCACCAUUAGUGGCUGUUGGCAAGCUGCCUCUGAAAAAUGAGGAUAAUAAAGGUUGAUUACUGCUCAGGGUUGCUCUGAGGUUUAAAUGCUAUAAUGCAUGUGAAAUGCUUAGUAUGGUACCUGAAAGUACUCAGUGUUAGAUAUUAUUACAUGGACAAAUGAAGUAAAAAAUAUGACCCGAAAAGACUUCAGGUCAACUUUCCUGAAUUGUGCAGAAAUAGGCAUCAAUCGCUUUUACUAACCAGGUUUACAGCUCUAUAUCCUGUCUCCACUUCUUCCAUUGUACUCAAUCAACAGAUUCACUGAAACUCGAACUGAGGGGACACAGUGGUGAGGGAAACAAACUGUCUGGCUUCUUGGGGCUGACAGUCUAGUGGGAAAAAGAGGGACAAAUAUUUCAUCACAUUUUCAGGGAAGCAUGCUAUAAAGGUUAUGAACAAAAUUUUGGAAAAGCAGAUACCAGGAUAGCUUUGAAAAAACUGGUCAGGAAAGGCCCAUCCGAGGGAUAAGGAGCCAAUAAUGAAAGAAAUGCCCUGGGGAAUUAUUUAAGAUAGAGGAAAUGGCUGUGCAAAGGACCUGUGGUAGGAAAGAACUUGGCUGUUGGAAUUGAGGGGAGUCCAUGGUGCAAGGAGGAGCCUGUCCUGAGAUUGGAGAGAUUGCUUCAGAGCUGCUGUCUCCUGGGCUUGGACAACGUGUCAGCAUCCGUCUUUGUCAUCACAAUCCCGGUGUUGCCCUGGGUGCUGGGUGCCUUGCAGAGCCAGCAGGCCAGCCCCAGGCAUGCCCUCUGGGUAUUUUGGCAGAAGACUGAAGGGGAACUAGAGAGACUGUUCAGAAUUAGACAAUAAAGAUAAAAGAGGGGCAGAAUCAGGCAAAGUGUUUUCAUUGGAAUCUUCCACUUUUAUGCUGAGAAGCAGGCAAGGCAAAAACUCUGGAUUCAGUUUGCAGGUGAGGAAACAGAGACCCAGAGAAAAGACACUAAUUGCCGGAAAACAUUCAGUGAUCAUGUGACAUUUGUCCUGGUGUUGACCUAUUCACAGAAGCAGGUAACAAAAUUCUGUUCUCUAGAAAGCAACAAUUGUAAUCUCUGUCACCAGAGAAUCCCAUACAAGGCCCCCGCCCCUUGACUAAGAAGAAAUGUUUUUGUCCUGCUUUCUCAUCCUUUUUCCAGCUGAGUCUGUAAAUACCUGCUACUCAGACACUCAGAAUAUUUCAGUGGCUCCAGAUUUUAAUCUGACCUUUGCACAGCCAUUUGCCUAUACUGUCAUGCCUGUAAUUAUAUAACUGCUUUAUUUUAAUGCCUGUAAAUAGGAGCUCAGUCAUCUAAGAAAAGUUCAGGAAAAGCAGAACCAUAGAACUAAAACUCAGUAAAACCAUUUCCCAUCUUAGUUCCCUAGCAUCCAUGAGGAUUCAGGUUCGAUCCCUGGUCUUGCUCAGUGGGUUGAGUAUGUGGCCUUGCCGUGAGCUGUGGUGUAGGUCGAAGAUGCAGCUUGGUUCCCGAGUUGCUGUGGCUGUGGUGUAGGUCGGCAGCCACAGCUCCGAUUUGACCCCUAGCCUGGGAACCUCCAUAUGCUGUGAGUGUGGCCCUAAAAAAAAAUACAAAAAAAAAAAAAAAUUCUCAAGUUCUUGUUGUGACUUCGAGGGUUAAGACCUGAUGUAGUGUCUGUGGGGAUGUGAGUUUGAUCCCUGGCUUUGCCAGUGGGCUAAGAAUCCAGUGCUGUGGUGCAGGUCAGAUCUGGUGUUGCCAUGGCUGUGCAUGAUUCGACCCCCAUCCUGGAAACUUCCAUAUGCCACAGGUCCAUCCAGCUGUAAAAAGAAAAAGAAAAAAAAAAUUUCUCUACAGCUUGAUUGAGGUAAAAUUGAUGUAUGAUAAAGUGCACUAUUUAAAGUGUACAGUUUAAUGAAUUUUAAUGUGUGUAUAUGCCUAUGAAACCACUACAGUCAAGAUCAGAGAUGGCUUUUCCAUCUCAGAGUCUAAAAGGGUGUGUGCUCCCAGUUCAAAACUAACUGGUAACAAAGUGAGACCUGGAGUUCCCGUCAUGGCUCAGCAGAAAUGAACCUGACUAGCAUCCAUGAGGCCACAGGUUCAAUUCCUGGCCUCGUUCAGUGGAUUAAGUAUCCGGUGUUGCCGUGAGCUGUGGUGUAGGUUGCAGAUGUGGCUUAGAUCUGGUGUUGCUGUGGCUGUGGCAUAGGCUGGCAGCUGUAGCUUCAAUUUGACCCCUAGCCUGGGAACCUCCAUAUGGCACAGGUGUGGCCCUAAAAGACUAAAAAAAAAGAAAGUGUGCCUUCCUCUUCUGAGUAACAAUACUGGCCCCUGCAGGGCCAUCUUUAUUUCAAUCUCUGUUAUCAUUGAAGAGGCAGCUCUCCAUUUGACCUCUAUGUGGCUUUUCCUUCUUGCCCACAGUUACAACAUUCUCUUUUCAGUUUCAGGUCCCUUUUUCUGCUAAAUCAUCCACUUCUUAUCUACAAGCCCCCUUUCAAUCUUAAAAAUGAACAAAAGCAAAACAAAAAAGUCAAUACUUCUUCCUGCCUCCUCCUCAUUCCUCCCUUCAGUCACUCAUGGCUCCCUCUCCUGCCCCCUAGUUAGUUCAUGGCCACACUUCCAGAAAUAGUUGCUCAUAUUCACUCUCUCCACAUCCUCACUUCCUCCUCUCCCUCAAAGCCACCCCGCCCCCUUGCUGCACAGAUACCUUUCUUGGCCAGGUCACUCACUAACCUCCCUGUUGUUGCUACAUCCCAUGAACCCAUCUCAGUCCUUAUCAUACUCUGACACCAUUGACCACUGUGUCCUUUGGUUGGUUGUUUUUACAAAAGUAACAGAUGCGCUUUUUUUUUUUUUUUUUUAAGAGUCAAAUACUGAAUAAAAACAUUAAGACUCUCCCCCUGCCGCCCUACUGCAGACAGAGCCACUGUCACAAGAACCCUCAGCUACUAGACAGCCACCCCAGGUAGCUGCCCAAAGCAUAGCAUAGCCUCAGGAAGUCCCAGAAAUUAGUCCCUGUAGACUUCUAACUUGGGAAAAAUCUCUUACUUGCCCUAUCAUAAACACCAGAGAAGCUAAGAAAUGUUUAUAAACAAACACACAAAGAAAAAGAGAAGAAAGUGCAUAUAGUAACUCUCCAACUCUGGUUUCAAUAUGUCUUAAAGGUGACAUGGUGGCAGGGUCUGCAUGACUCAUCCCUGUCGGUCUCUCCAGGCAGGAAGCCUUUCUGGCCCUGGUUUUCCUGAUAGCAGCCCUUUGUUUUCCCCUUAUCCUUGGGAGAAUGAUAGGAAUGAAGAAUAUAGGGCCCCCGGGACCUUGUGAGGCUGACCUAGCAGCCAUCAAGGUUUAUAGUCUUGUAGACAAAUACACAAAAAUGGGUUUUUUAUGACCAGUGUUUUUUACCCAAGAUAAAGUACAAAGCAGGACAUAAGAAUCACCCACCCAAAUCUCACCAACCAGAAUAGCACCAUAACAGUUUUGGUGAGCAUAUUUAAAUGUGUCUCUAUUCUGUGUAUACACUUAGAGGUAUAUAUACAGUUUCACAUACAUGGGAUCAUGAUUUACAAGUUAUUCUGUAACUACUGUUUUCACUCGGAACAUGCAAUGGAUAGCUUUCCAGGUCAAUAACUAUAGACUAACACUGUGAUUGCUACUGCUCGCCUGCCAUUCAGAAUAUUUACGAGCCAUGAUUUACUCACCCAGCCUCUUAUUGUUGGGCAGUUAGGUGGUUCGCAUUUUUUGAUAUCAUAUACUACACAGUGAUAAACAUUCUGUGUUCAGCUUUUAGCUUUUGUACAAUUUUCUCCUCAGGCUAAUUUGUAGAAGUGGACUAGCUCCAUACAAUGGUGUGUACAUUUCACAUUUUGACACAGUUAGGCUAACUUCCUUCCAGAAAUGUUAUGCCAAUUUAUUUUCCCACCAACACUGAAUUUAAAAGCAUCUUUUCCCCGCGUGCGGCGUGUCUCGCCGCGCGUCCGGACCGGGGUCCGGUGCGGAGAGCCUUUUGACCUGGGAAACGGGGCGCGGCGGGAAAGCAAGGCCGCCCCCUCGGCCGCCCGUCACGCACCGCACAUUCGUGGGGAACCUGGUGCUAAACCGUUCGCAGACGACCUGCUUCUGGGUCGGGGUUUCCUACAUAGCAGAGCAGCUCCCUCGCUACGAUCUAUUGAAAGUCAGCUCUCGACACAAGGGUUUGU